UUGCUUCCUGAUUGAUCAGCAGACGGGUGAAUAAUGCCUAUGAGUCUGCAUGGUAGUGGGGGACUUGUUCCGAAAGGAACGCUGCCCCCCCGGGGAUCCAACUGGAGAAAUCAGGGGACCUUCCGGCCUUGCGCUAUCUUAUGAACGUAAGUGCUAUUAACUGCUUGGUGAGGUAAUGGGUCACCAAGGCUACCAUCCCUCACUGGUCCUAAAAGAUGAUCCAUCCUCCUGGAGCUGGCACACGGGCCGAACUCCUACGGGAGGCAGCAAUGGGGAAUAUUGCAUAAUGGGCGAAAGCCUGAUGCCUCCAUGCCGCGUGUGUGAAGAAGGUCUUAAGAUUGUAAAGGACUUUAGAUUGGAAGGAACGGUUGUAUAUUAAUACUCUGCCAUUUUAACAUUACCGACGCAAUAAGCACCGGCUAACUUCGUGCCUACAGCCACCGUAAUACGAAGGGUGCAUGCGAUGAUCAAAAUUACUGGUCAUAUAGCGAGCUUACGUGGUUCAUUAAUUUGGAUGUUAAAUCCCCGGGCUCUGCCUGUCAACUGCAUCCAAUACUGCUCAUCUAUAUUACGGUAAACGGUGGUGGAAUUUGCUGUGUACCGGUUCAAUGCUUACACAUAGGAACGAACACCAGUGGCGCAGGCGACCACCUAUACUGAUACUGACCCUGACGUACAAAAGCGUGGCUAGCAGACAGGAUUAUAUACUCUGGUAGUCCACGCCGUAGACUAUGUCAACU
Molecule: ribosomal RNA, 740 nt
Filed under: Pseudomonas neustonica
Lineage: Bacteria; Pseudomonadati; Pseudomonadota; Gammaproteobacteria; Pseudomonadales; Pseudomonadaceae
Description: bacterial SSU rRNA
Rfam family: Bacterial small subunit ribosomal RNA
Source: RNAcentral